This 1239-nucleotide ribosomal RNA is filed under the name Candidatus Phytoplasma citri. RNAcentral describes it as "bacterial SSU rRNA". It matches the Rfam family "Bacterial small subunit ribosomal RNA", at positions 162 to 1399 of the family's 1533-position model. The record is from RNAcentral. Lineage: Bacteria; Bacillati; Mycoplasmatota; Mollicutes; Acholeplasmatales; Acholeplasmataceae.
GCUAAGACUGGAUAGGAAGAAAUAAGGCAUCUUUUUUCUUUUAAAAGACCUAGUGAUAGGUAUACUUUAGGAGGGGCUUGCGCCAUAUUAGUUAGUUGGUAGGGUAAUGGCCUACCAAGACGAUGAUGUGUAGCUGGACUGAGAGGUUGAACAGCCACAUUGGGACUGAGACACGGCCCAAACUCCUACGGGAGGCAGCAGUAGGGAAUUUUCGGCAAUGGAGGAAACUCUGACCGAGCAACGCCGCGUGAACGACGAAGUACUUUGGUAUGUAAAGUUCUUUUAUCAAGGAAGAAAAGCAAGUGGUGAACCAUUUGUUUGCCGGUACUUGAUGAAUAAGCCCCGGCUAAUUAUGUGCCAGCAGCCGCGGUAAGACAUAAGGGGCAAGUGUUAUCCGGAAUUAUUGGGCGUAAAGGGUGCGUAGGCGGUCUAGUAAGUCAGUGGUGUAAUGGCAACGCUCAACGUUGUCCGGCUAUUGAAACUGCUAAACUUGAGUUAGAUAGAGGCGAGUGGAAUUCCAUGUGUAGCGGUAAAAUGCGUAAAUAUAUGGAGGAACACCAGAGGCGUAGGCGGCUCGCUGGGUCUUAACUGACGCUGAGGCACGAAAGCGUGGGGAGCAAACAGGAUUAGAUACCCUGGUAGUCCACGCCGUAAACGAUGAGUACUAAGUGUCGGGUUAAACCGGUACUGAAGUUAACACAUUAAGUACUCCGCCUGAGUAGUACGUACGCAAGUAUGAAACUUAAAGGAAUUGACGGGACUCCGCACAAGCGGUGGAUCAUGUUGUUUAAUUCGAAGAUACCCGAAAAACCUUACCAGGUCUUGACAUGUUUUUGCGAAACGGUAGUAAUAUCGUGGAGGUUAUCAGAAACACAGGUGGUGCAUGGUUGUCGUCAGCUCGUGUCGUGAGAUGUUAGGUUAAGUCCUAAAACGAGCGAAACCCUUAUCGUUAGUUGCCAGCACGUUAUGGUGGGGACUUUAACGAGACUGCCAGUGAUAAAUUGGAGGAAGGUGAGGAUCACGUCAAAUCAGCAUGCCCCUUAUGACCUGGGCUACAAACGUGAUACAAUGGCUGUUACAAAGGGUAGCUGAAACGCCAAGUUCUUGGCCAAUCCCCAAAAACAGUCUCAGUCCGGAUUGAAGUCUGCAACUCGACUUCAUGAAGUUGGAAUCGCUAGUAAUCGCGAAUCAGCAUGUCGCGGUGAAUACGUUCUCGGGGUUUGUACACACCGCCCGUCA